This 250-nucleotide ribosomal RNA is filed under the name uncultured bacterium. Its description in RNAcentral is "partial 16S ribosomal RNA". It matches the Rfam family "Bacterial small subunit ribosomal RNA", at positions 524 to 776 of the family's 1533-position model. The record is from RNAcentral.
UACGUAGGGUGCGAGCGUUAAUCGGAAUUACUGGGCGUAAAGCGUGCGCAGGCGGUGAUGUAAGACCGAUGUGAAAUCCCCGGGCUUAACCUGGGAACUGCAUUGGUGACUGCAUUGCUGGAGUAUGGCAGAGGGGGUGGAAUUCCACGUGUAGCAGUGAAAUGCGUAGAGAUGUGGAGGAACACCGAUGGCGAAGGCAGCCCCUGGGUCAAGAUUGACGCUCAUGCACGAAAGCGUGGGAGCAAACAGG